This 253-nucleotide ribosomal RNA is filed under the name uncultured bacterium. RNAcentral describes it as "partial 16S ribosomal RNA". It matches the Rfam family "Bacterial small subunit ribosomal RNA", at positions 524 to 776 of the family's 1533-position model. The record is from RNAcentral.
UACAGAGGUCUCGAGCGUUAGGCGGAAUCACUGGGCUUAAAGCGUGUGUAGGUGGAUCGGUAAGUACCUUGUGAAAUCCCACAGCUUAACUGUGGAACUGCUUGGUAUACUGCCAGUCUUGAGCCAGCUAGGGGCUACCGGAACAAAUGGUGGAGCGGUGAAAUGCGUAGAUAUCAUUUGGAACGCCAAUGGUGAAAACAGGUAGCUGGGGCUGUGCUGACACUGAGACACGAAAGCCAGGGGAGCAAACGGG